UUGGAGUUCUAAAACAACAGGCUUAGACCCCAAUCCAGGAAAUUAAGAAGUGGACUAUUAGCAAAAUUCUUCAUAGAGAAGAAGGUGAGAUCAUUUCACUUUUUUCAUCCUAGCUUCUUAGUACUAUCUUAUUAACAUUGGUUGAUAAUUCUAAUUUACUUUCGGCAAUGAUAUAUGAAAUUCAUUCCCCCUGGAAAAAUGGAAGCCUUAAGUGACAUUUUCCGAAAUGGAACUUGUUGAGAUUCUGUUGCAUCUAAACCAUGGAUGAAAAUUAUGCAAUAAAUGUCACAGGCCUUGCUUACUUUUUCUGUCUUAACUCUCAAGGUCUAAGACAUCAUGGUGAUAUAUUUCAGUAGUUCUAAUGUUGAUACUCAUAUAGUGGGCCUAGGAACUUAGGGAGAUGUUAGUUUUGACUUUGCAUCAGUUAAUUAAUAGCCCACCAAGAAGAAAUGUGGUAUAUUUCAUGUUACCUGCUCCUGCUUAUGUCUUCAAUCUCUGAGUUAUCAUAUGUACGUGUGGACAGAAGCGCUUUCAGAUGCUGUGACUUGUGUGGGUUUGUGCUUUUGCUGUCUUCGGAUUUCUGAGACCUGCUUGCUAAUCGGGAAGCCUGAACUUUUCCUUUCAAUAUGACAUAUACUCCACAAGAUUCUGGUGCAAGUUUGAGCAAGCUGG
RNAcentral lists this long non-coding RNA (672 nucleotides) under Gossypium raimondii (Peruvian cotton). Its description in RNAcentral is "long non-coding RNA (GRAI_LNC009728)". Lineage: Eukaryota; Viridiplantae; Streptophyta; Magnoliopsida; Malvales; Malvaceae. The record is from RNAcentral.